Molecule: long non-coding RNA, 473 nt
Filed under: Pan troglodytes (chimpanzee)
Lineage: Eukaryota; Metazoa; Chordata; Mammalia; Primates; Hominidae
Description: lncRNA (ENSPTRG00000054438.1)
Source: RNAcentral
GGCCCACGUCUACACCGCACACCUCAUGGGAGGGCCCGCGUCUACAGCGCAUGCCUCACGGGAGGGCCGGCAUCUACACCGCACGCCUCACGGGAGGGCCCGCGUCUACACCGCAUGCCUCACGGGAGGGCCCGCGUCUACACCGCAUGCCUCACGGGAGGGCCGGCGUCUAGACCACACGCCUCAUCCCUCACGGGAGGGACGUGGUGAACACGCACCCGGGGCUGUCGUUCCUGAAGGAGGCGUCCGAGUUUCACUCGCGCUACAUCACCACGGUGGGUCCCCAGCGGAGAGGCCGUCGGUUCCAGCGCGGGGCGCGGGUGUUUCUGCAGCGGCCGCCGCGGGGCUUCUGCGGAGCGGGGCGGGCGGGGCCCGGGGGUCCUGAUCUUCCGGAGGAGGCGGCCGCGCCCUGGGAGAGUCUCCGCCCGCCCGGGAGCCCAGUGUUGGGGGGACUCUGGUUUUCGGGGUGGCCG